Molecule: ribosomal RNA, 536 nt
Filed under: uncultured bacterium
Lineage: Bacteria
Description: partial 16S ribosomal RNA
Rfam family: Bacterial small subunit ribosomal RNA
Source: RNAcentral
UGGGGAAUAUUGCACAAUGGGCGGAAGCCUGAUGCAGCAACGCCGCGUGCGGGAUGACGGCCUUCGGGUUGUAAACCGCUUUCGCCUGUGACGAAGCGUGAGUGACGGUAAUGGGCAAAGAAGCACCGGCUAACUACGUGCCAGCAGCCGCGGUGAUACGUAGGGUGCGAGCGUUGUCCGGAUUUAUUGGGCGUAAAGGGCUCGUAGGUGGUUGAUCGCGUCGGAAGUGUAAUCUUGGGGCUUAACCCUGAGCGUGCUUUCGAUACGGGUUGACUUGAGGAAGGUAGGGGAGAAUGGAAUUCCUGGUGGAGCGGUGGAAUGCGCAGAUAUCAGGAGGAACACCAGUGGCGAAGGCGGUUCUCUGGGCCUUUCCUGACGCUGAGGAGCGAAAGCGUGGGGAGCGAACAGGCUUAGAUACCCUGGUAGUCCACGCUGUAAACGGUGGGUACUAGGUGUGGGGGUCCAUUCCACGGGUUCCGCGCCGUAGCUAACGCUUAAGUACCCCGCCUGGGGAGUACGGCCGCAAGGCUAAACUC